AGGAUCCUGGUCCCGCCUCCAGGUCUCUUCCCGCGUUGCGGCGCACGCCCCCCGGGAAGGCCGCACAGCUGAGGUGCUUGGUUGGAGCAGGGUACCCUGGAGGAGAAUGCGAAGAGAGGAUGAGUGAUCCUUGGAGGCAGUAACGGCACGGCCAGGAAGACGAAAUUCCCGAAGGAUCAAGGCCUGAGUUCCUACUGUGGCAACAGGGUAAUUUAAGACAUGAAGCCAACAGGUACAGACCCAAGGAUCUUAUCUUUAGCUGCUGAAGUUGCAAAAAGUCCUGAGCAGAAUGUCCCUGUUAUACUGUUGAAGUUAAAAGAGAUAAUAAACAACACACCUUUAGGAAGCUCAGAGUUGAAGAAAAUUAAACAAGAUAUAUAUUGUUAUGACCUCAUUCAGUAUUGCCUUUUGGUGCUCAAUCAAGAUUGUUCUCGAAUCCAGGGAGGUUGGACUACAAUUUCCCAGCUUACACAGAUAUUAAGCCAUUGCUGUGUGGGCUUGGAGCCAGGAGAAGACGCAGAGGAAUUUUACAAUGAAUUACUCCCAUCAGCUGCAGAAAAUUUUCUGGUUUUGGGGAGGCGAUUACAAACAUGUUUCAUCAAUGCAGCUAAGGGUGAAGAAAAAGAUGAAUUACUUCACUCUUUCCAAAUUGUGACUGAUUCUCUCUUCUGGCUCUUGGGAGACCAUGUUCAACUCAUCCAAAAUGUACUACAAAGUGAUCAUUUCUUGCACUUACUGCAAACUGACAACGUUCAAAUAGGAUCUACAGUCAUGACUAUGCUACAGAACAUACUACAGAUUAACAGUGGUGAUUUACUCAGAAUAGAAGGAAAAACCCUGCAUUCAAUUUUAGAUGAAGUUGUUUUCAAGCUUUUAUCAACUCCUAGUCCAGUUGUAAGAACUACUGCUACAAAGCUUCUACUGCUGAUGACUGAAUCCCAUCAGGAAAUUUUGAUUUUACUGAGACUAAGUGCCUGCUACAAAGGACUCAGAAAUCUACUAAAUAAAUAUGAGCCUGGGACAGAGUUUAGUCAAGAAAUUGGACAGCUCAUUGCUCUUUUAACCCCUAAGGUCUAUCAGGAAGUAGAAGAACAGAAACUACAUCAAGCAGCUUGCUUGAUUCAAGCUUAUUGGAAGGGUUUCCAAACUAGAAAGAGAUUAAAGAAGCUUCCAUCUGCUGUGAUUACUUUGCAGAGAAGUUUCAGAUCUAAACGAACCAAGAUAUUACUAAAGCUAAAUAAGCAGAAAGAAGAAGAGCACCGCAGAUUACAGUUGCAACUUCAAAGACAGAGAGCCAUGAGAUUGUCCCGAGAAUUACGGCUGAGUAUGCUCGAAAUAGUUCAUCCAGGUCAGGUGGAAAAAUAUAAUCGGGAAAUAGAAGAGAAAUCAGCAUUGAUUAUCCAGAAACACUGGAGAGGGUACAGGGAAAGGAAAAAUUUUCGCCAACAGAGGCCAUCUCUCACGGAGUAUAAAGCAGCUGUCAUACUUCAGAGAGCAACUCUUAAAUUUCUAGAGAAGUGUCGUAAGAAAAAGAAGCUAUUUGCUCCUUGGCAAGGACUUCAAGAUCUCACUGAUGCACGCAGAGUUGAACUGAAGCAACAAGUGGAUGACUAUCUCAGAAGACAUCCGCAUAUAUCCUCAGAUAUUUUGGAGUACCUUACCUAUCUGUCCCAGUGACUGUGCCAGGUGCUGGGGAUUGAAAGAAAGAAACAAAGUUCUCUCAAGAGCUCUUUGUCUGGAGACAGAAAGAGGAGAAAAUGAUGACACAGCAUGAUAAUAGUAUAAAACAAGUGUUUCAGAUUCAGAGACAGGAGAAAGGAAGCCUGAUCAACUCUCUGAAUAUUAUGAAGUUGUACCAUAAAAAUAAAUUAUAUACAGAGGAUUCAAAGAAGAUGUUGGAGUAGUAAGCACCCGGAAUCUGUCCACUCACCUAGACAACAAUUGCACUGGUAGAAUAUGUGUCAUAUGACUAUUUUGGAACUCCUGAGUCUAUGGAAGGUUUGCAACUUUUAGGGGGAGGUUUGGAAGAUAAAUUGCAGUUAAUUUUAGUCAGUUUCAGUUCUAAGCACAAGAUCAGCUACCUUAUCCUCCACCUCUGCUCCCCACCCUGGCAUCCUGGCAGGUAGCUUUGCGUGUUUCUGGAGCAGCUUACAUACAAUUUGUCUAAGCCAGGGUGAGCAGAAGGACCCUGUCCUCCAAAUACUGGUGAUCUGUGCUUUGGUCAAUGACUGCUGCAGAGAUGCAGACAAAAAAUAGGGUGGCCAUUGUUGUUUUACCUACCUCCAUUGUUUCAAGUCACUCCCCCUGUGGCUGAAGUGACUUACAGGGGAUUUAAAGGGAUGACGCCUCUUUUUACCCUCCCCUCAUUUUUUUUUCUUUUUCCUUUUUGGAAGCAAGACAUUAAAAACUAGGACAUUCAAGGGCGCCUGAGUGGCUCAGUCGUUAAGCAUCUGCCUUCAGCUCAGGGCGUGAUCCUGGGGUUCCGGGAUCAAGCCCCGCAUCGGGCUCCUGGUCCGCUGGGAGCCUGCUUCUUUCUCUCCCACUCCCCCUGC
Molecule: RNA transcript, 2552 nt
Organism: Ailuropoda melanoleuca (giant panda)
Lineage: Eukaryota; Metazoa; Chordata; Mammalia; Carnivora; Ursidae
Gene: IQCB1
Gene name: IQ motif containing B1
Exons: 15
Source: RefSeq, a predicted model, not a curated record